This is an RNA transcript of Homo sapiens (human), 15197 nucleotides long. It is a transcript of the gene named coiled-coil domain containing 171, with no coding region annotated. NCBI's taxonomy places the organism in Eukaryota, Metazoa, Chordata, Mammalia, Primates, Hominidae. The transcript is spliced from 27 exons. The record is from RefSeq and is marked validated.
GAAAGUCUGGGAAGGUCUGCGAGAGAAGCGGAGUGUUUUCAGCUCCGGAAGUGGCAGUUGUAAACUUCACCUCCCGGGGGCUCUUCCCCUUCUGUACCCCUUUGCUGUUUGUCCCCCUCCUCCCGGGUCCUGGAGUCCGUCGUGUUCCAACAGUUUUUGCUCUUAUUCCCGUGGGCUGCCUGGGCCUCCUUUCACCCGUGAGACUUGGAGCGGCCCCUGGGGUCUUGGGUGUGCAGCACGGAUCACGCGAGACCCCUGAGACCUCAAAUCAUCUAACGUGAAGCCACAGACAUCUUGGGCAAUUUUAAUCAUCAAGAAAGAAAUAUGUCAUUAAGAAAUAGCAGGGUAUUUUGAAAGAGUUGGAAAACAUCAUGAAUUUGAAUACUUCAAGUAAUACUGGUGAUACCCAAAGGUUGAAGAUUGCCUCAUUGGAUGUAAAACAAAUACUUAAAAAUGAAACAGAGUUGGAUAUUACUGAUAAUCUCAGGAAGAAACUCCAUUGGGCUAAAAAAGAAAAGUUAGAAAUAACAACCAAACACAAUGCAGAGCUGGCAAGCUAUGAGAGCCAGAUUGCCAAGCUACGGUCCGAGGUUGAAAAGGGAGAAGCAUUGCGACAAAGUCUGGAAUAUGACCUAGCUGUUGCUAGAAAGGAAGCUGGUCUUGGAAGACGGGCUGCUGAAGAAAGAUUAGCCGAGGCACAUAGGAUCCAAGAAAAACUCUGUGCACAGAAUUCAGAACUUCAAGCAAAGACAAAUGAGACUGAGAAAGCAUUUCAGACUUCUCAGCAAAAAUGGAAAGAAGAAUGCAGAAGAUUUGAACAUGAUUUGGAGGAAAGAGACAAUAUGAUCCAAAAUUGCAAUCGAGAAUAUGAUUUACUUAUGAAAGAAAAAAGCAGACUAGAGAAAACUCUACAGGAAGCGUUGGAAAAACAUCAACGGGAGAAGAAUGAGAUGGAGUCUCAUAUCAGGGAGACAGCAUUGGAGGAGUUUAGAUUACAAGAAGAACAAUGGGAAGCAGAAAGAAGAGAAUUACAAUUUAUAGUACAGGAGCAAGAUACUGCUGUGCAAAAUAUGCAUAAGAAAGUAGAAAAAUUAGAAACAGAACAUAUGGACUGCUCUGACCUUUUACGGCGACAAACAAGUGAACUUGAAUUUAGCACUCAACGAGAGGAACGCCUUAGAAAAGAAUUUGAGGCAACUACUCUAAGAGUGAGGAAAUUAGAAGAAAACAUUGAAGCAGAAAGAGCAGCGCAUUUGGAAUCAAAAUUUAAUUCUGAAAUUAUUCAGUUACGGAUUCGAGACCUUGAAGGAGCUUUGCAAGUAGAGAAGGCCAGUCAAGCAGAAGCUGUUGCUGAUUUGGAAAUUAUCAAGAAUGAAUUCAAAGAAGUUGAAAGUGCAUAUGAGCGAGAAAAGCAUAAUGCACAAGAGAGCUUUGCAAAACUAAAUUUAUUAGAAAAAGAGUAUUUCUCCAAAAAUAAGAAACUAAAUGAAGACAUCGAGGAACAGAAGAAAGUAAUUAUAGACCUUUCAAAGAGACUCCAGUAUAAUGAAAAAAGUUGCAGUGAAUUACAGGAAGAACUAGUAAUGGCUAAGAAGCACCAGGCCUUCCUAGUAGAGACAUGUGAAAAUAACGUGAAAGAAUUGGAAUCGAUCUUGGACAGCUUUACUGUGUCGGGCCAGUGGACAUCAGGCAUCCACAAGGACAAAGAUAAACCUCCCAGCUUCUCUGUUGUCCUUGAGAGAUUGAGGCGUACCUUGACAGAUUACCAGAACAAGCUGGAAGAUGCAUCUAAUGAGCUAAACAGCAUGAAUGAUGUUAAGGAAAAGGCAUGUAAUGAACUUGAUUCUACGAAACAGAAGAUAGACUCUCACACUAAAAAUAUAAAGGAACUUCAGGAUAAACUGGCUGAUGUUAAUAAAGAGUUAAGUCAUUUACACACUAAAUGUGCAGACCGAGAGGCUUUAAUAAGCACUUUAAAAGUGGAACUACAAAAUGUGCUGCACUGUUGGGAGAAAGAAAAGGCUCAGGCAGCCCAGUCUGAAAGUGAACUGCAGAAGCUUUCCCAGGCUUUCCAUAAGGAUGCAGAGGAGAAGCUAACCUUCCUUCACACCUUAUAUCAGCACUUGGUAGCAGGCUGUGUGCUCAUAAAACAACCAGAAGGCAUGCUGGAUAAAUUCUCUUGGUCUGAGCUUUGUGCAGUCUUACAGGAGAAUGUUGAUGCCCUGAUUGCAGACCUCAACAGGGCUAAUGAGAAGAUAAGGCAUCUAGAGUAUAUCUGUAAAAACAAGUCUGACACGAUGAGAGAGCUUCAGCAGACUCAGGAAGACACCUUUACCAAAGUGGCAGAACAGAUCAAAGCCCAAGAGAGCUGCUGGCACAGACAAAAGAAGGAACUAGAGCUGCAGUAUUCUGAACUCUUCCUGGAGGUGCAGAAGAGGGCACAGAAAUUUCAAGAAAUUGCUGAAAAAAACAUGGAAAAAUUGAACCAUAUUGAGAAGUCACAUGAACAGUUGGUUCUUGAAAAUUCGCACUUCAAAAAACUGUUAUCACAGACUCAAAGGGAACAGAUGUCCUUGCUGGCAGCCUGUGCAUUAAUGGCUGGUGCCUUAUAUCCCCUCUAUAGCCGAUCAUGCGCCUUGUCUACACAGAGAGAUUUUCUCCAGGAGCAGGUCAACACCUUUGAGUUGUUCAAACUGGAAAUUAGAACUCUAGCCCAGGCUUUGUCAACUGUAGAGGAAAAGAAGCAAGAGGAAGCCAAGAUGAAAAAGAAAACAUUCAAAGGAUUGAUACGUAUAUUUCGGAAAGGUGUUAUUGCUGUUUUGGCAGCAAACAGACUCAAGAUUUUGGGCCAAUCAUGUGCCUCUCUUUUUACCUGGAUGGAGAGUUUCAAAGAAGGCAUAGGCAUGUUAGUGUGCACAGGAGAGCCCCAAGACAAGCAUAAAUUUCCAAAACAUCAAAAGGAGCAGUUGCGUUGUUUACAAGCGCUCAGUUGGCUCACCAGUUCUGACCUUCUUGCUGCAAUAAUCAGUUCUAUGGCUGAAUUACAAGACGUCAUUGGUAAAGCAGAUCCAAAUUCCAGAAUUUGUGGACAUUUACUCAUAGGUGCAGCCAAGAAUUCUUUUGCAAAACUCAUGGAUAAAAUUAGUCUGGUAAUGGAAUGUAUACCUCUGCACAGUAGCAGGAGUAUUACAUAUGUAGAAAAAGAUUCCCUGGUUCAGAGGCUGGCCCAUGGACUUCAUAAAGUAAACACACUGGCCCUGAAAUAUGGUUUGCGUGGCCAUGUGCCCAUUACGAAAAGCACAGCAUCGUUGCAGAAGCAAAUACUUGGAUUUACACAAAGACUGCAUGCUGCAGAAGUGGAGCGCCGCUCACUACGCUUAGAGGUCACAGAAUUCAAACGAAGUGUGAAUGAAAUGAAAAAGGAGCUUGACAAAGCCCAGGGUCUGCAAAUGCAAUUAAAUGAAUUUAAGCAGUCUAAAUUGAUCACCCAUGAGAAGUUUGAAAGUGCAUGUGAAGAACUAAAUAAUGCAUUACUUCGGGAAGAGCAGGCACAAAUGCUAUUGAAUGAACAGGCACAACAACUACAGGAAUUGAAUUAUAAACUUGAAUUGCACUCCAGUGAGGAAGCUGACAAAAACCAAACUCUUGGAGAAGCUGUUAAGAGUCUCUCCGAGGCAAAGAUGGAGCUGAGAAGAAAAGAUCAAUCUCUGCGUCAGCUCAAUAGACAUCUUACCCAGCUGGAGCAGGACAAGCGUCGACUGGAGGAGAACAUCCAUGAUGCAGAGAGUGCCCUCCGCAUGGCAGCCAAAGACAAAGAAUGUGUUGCUAAUCACAUGAGAGCAGUAGAAAAUACGCUUCACAAGGUCAGAGAUCAGAUCUCGCUGUCAUGGUCUGCGGCAAGUAGGAAUGACUUCACCCUACAGCUACCCAAACUGCACCUGGAGACCUUUGCAAUGGAGGGGCUCAAGGGCGGGCCAGAGGUGGUAGCAUGCCAGCUACUUGGACAAAAAACAGUGUUUGAUGGACUGCCUAGGUGAAGACCUGGAAAAGGAAGGGUUAUCUACAAAUGAACUGAUGAAGUUCUUCAAAUUGAUGCCGCUUAUAUAAACUGACCCCGAUUUGCCCUAUUCUGCAUGACAACUUAAGUGACAGCAGUUAGAAGAAAAUACAGCAAUGAAUAUGCAACUUAAGGAUUAAGGAAGAUGCAGUAAAUCAGUCUAAAGCUAAGUACAAUGAUAAUUUCUUGUAAUAAUUCCACAGAUGCCUUACAUUUGUUAAACAGACUGUUAUUACUCUCAAAUACUCAAAUAUAUGUUUUCAUUAUAUACAUGUAUUUGAAUUGAAGAAGAGAACUAAAAGUUAUUCCAACAGAGAUCCUAAUUCUUUUCCCUCUUAUUUAAACUUGGAAUUAUCAAAAUCACAGUUUUAAAAAUAUUUUAUUUAGGAUAUCCACAUGCAAAAGAAUGAAAUUGGACCUUGGUCUUACAACAUGCACAAUAAUCAACUCAAAAUGGAGUACACAAUGUUAGAAAGACCUAAUGCCAUAAAACAAAGGAAACAACAAAAUGGAAAGGCAACUUGUGGAAUAGGAAAAACUAUUUAUAAACUGUAUAUCCAGUAAGGAGUUUAAUAUCCAAAAUAUAUAAGGAACUCAUACAACACAAUAACUUUUUUAAAAAAUGGGCAAAGGACCUAAAAAGACAUUUUUCCAAAGAACACAUGCAAGUGGCCAAUAAGUAAAAAGGUGUUCAACACCGCUAACCAUUAGGGAAAUGAAAAUCAAAACCACAAUGAGAUAUCACAUCACAACUGUUAGGAUGGCUAUUACCAGAAAGUCAAAAGACAACAAGUGUUGGCAAGGAUGUAGAGAAAAGCGAACCUUUGUGCACUAUUGGUGGAAAUGUAAAUUGGUAUAGCUAUUAUGGAAAACAGUAUGGAAUUUCCUCAAAAAAUAAAAAUAGAACUACCAUAUGAUCCAGCAAUCCUACUUCUGGGUAUACAUCAAAAGGAAAUGAAACCGUUGUCUUGAAGACAUGUCUACACUUCCAUGUUCAUUGUAGCAUUAUUCACAAUAGCCAAGAUAUAGAAACAACCUAAGUGUCCUCUGAUGAAUGAAUGGACAGAGGAAAUGUUUAUACACACACACACACACACACACACACACACCCAGAGGAAAAUUCAGCUUUAAAAAAUAAAGGAAAUCCUGCAAUGUGCAACAACAUAUAUGAACAUGGAGGACAUUAUGCUAAGCGAAAUAAGCCAGACGCAGAAAGAAAAAUACUGCAUGAUUCCAUUUAUACGUAGAAUUUUUAAAAAUCUUACUCACAGAAACAGAGUAGAAGGUGGUUGGGGGUGGUUGGGGGAAUGAGGAGAUAAUUGGUCAAAGGGUAAAAACUUUUGGUCAUAAGAUGAAUAAUCUCUGGAGAUCAUGGUACAGUGCUAUAUAAUGCAUUGUGUACUUGAAAUUUGCUAAGAGAGUAGAUCUUCAGUAUUCUCACCACAUACACAAAAGAGGGUAACUCUGUGAGGUGAUAGAUAUGUUAAUUAGCUUGAUUGUGGUAAUAAUUUCACAAAGUAUAUAUAUAUUAAAUAAUCACAUUAUAUCCCUUAAAUAUAUACAAACUUUAUUUGUCAAAAAAAUAUUUCAUUUGAGUUUGCAUAGUACUGUAUAUUAAGUAACCAGUGAAAUGUAGAGUAAUUUUAGAAAUGGUUUAGAAAGUACUUUUCAGUUUUGGAGCCUUCUAGUAACAGUAGUAGGUUUUUUUCCCCCUUUUCCCACCAAAAGUCUCAUAGUGCUGACUAAAAGGAGGCAUAAGUUUUUGAGGGAAGACUAACUUAAGAAGUAACUCACUGAAGAAAACAUUAAAAGGUAAACUGUGGCAUAUAAAAUUUUAAGGUAUUUGUUUGAGUGAACAGCAAUUCAUGAGUUGUACAGCUCCAGGCCAGAAGUAGUUUGGAGGUCCUGUUGAGAGAACGCACUCAAAUUUCUACACGUUUGUAGACACUAAGCCAAAACCCAAAUCAACUCUUUAUCUGAAAUAAAAGAUUGUUGCUUAAUUCAUUUAUUUUCAAAGGAAAAAUAAAAAUGAAAAAUUAAAUAAAUUCUCAUAAUAAUUUCAUUUAGAAAUAGUAUUAUUAUUUUUCUUAACAAAGUACCCUUUAAAAAAAAACUCAAAAGACUUGCCAAUACUAGCCAAUCAAAUCCUUCCUUCAAUUUUAGAAAACAGGAAUUGCAUGUAAACAAGUCUGGGCCAACUCUUACAACCUGCUUUCUAUAUCCUCCUCCUCUGUUCUCCAUCUUUCCUAGUUCUUUGAGCCCCAGUGGUCAGGCUGAGCUGAGUAUGAGAGAGGGCCCUCAAGAGGCCCUGGAAGCAUAUUCCCUCAGCUCCUAAAUGAAGUCUCCAUAAGGUGACCCUAGGAGACUGUGCAGCGUGACUGGCCGCUUGUUUUAUCCCAGACUCUUUUCCAGGGUCUUACUUCUGUCAUCCAGACUGGAGUGCAGCAGUGCGAUCUCAGCUCACUGCAACCUCCACCUCCCAGGUUUAAGCGACUCUCCUGCCUCAGCCUCCACAAUAACUGGGACCACAGGUGUGUGCCACCACACCUGGCUAAUUUUUGUAUUUUUUUUAUGGAGACAGAGUUUUACUGUGUUGGCCAGGGUGGUCUCGAACUUCUAACGUCAAAUGAUCCACCUGCCUCGGCCUCCCAAAGUACUGGGAUUACAGCCCACAUUUCUAAAAUAGGAAAAAUCCUGAACUGAGAAACACAUUGGUUCCAAGGGUUUCAGAUAAAGGAAUGUGAGAAUUGUACUAGCAUUAUAAAACAGGUUCUAUGCAAAGGACAUAUACUGUUGUUUCCAUGCAUUGUGUCAAUGCAAUCAAACAAAGGUUUUUUGCUUAUAGAGAAGCACAUUCAGUCUGUGGGAUGGUAUAUUUGAGUGAAUUUUUGCUAUCUACUCUCUCUUGCAUCUUGUUUUGAGUCAUAAAGGAAUUGUGUAGUAUUUUAUGCCACUUGAAAACUCGAAAGACUUCAACAGUUGUGUUAUGUGCAAAUCAGAUAAGGCUCUAAUAGGCUUUAUCUUGCUUGUGUAUAGUACCUGUUUGCAAACUAAAGGCACAUUUUCACUCCAUGCCAGUAGGAAUCCUCUGAGGCAUUAUUUUUUGGGCCCCUCCCACUUUAUGUACUGAAAGCAGAAUGGAUGAAAUGCCUUGACACAUAACUUACUUAUCUUUUCUUACUCAACAUUCUAAUGUGUUCUCACUGGUAAAGGAAUGCAGAUUUUUUGAAGGAUCUGGAGAAGCCAGACUCUGCUGGUAUUCAGACAAUUACUCUAGAUAGAGAGAGGAAGUCCUCUUGUUGUGAGUCCAGUGGCUUGGUGGUUCGUAUCCUGGAUUCCUGGUAGUCCAUAGGAGCAACAGGGACUAGAAAUGGCUUUGUUUCAAAGUUCUCUGCUUAUUCUAGAGAGGAAAUAAAAAUAUCACUUAAUAGUAUUUAGAGACCAGUGUGAACUAAGAUACUGGCUUUAAACCAAAAUGGCCAGCUCUGUUGAUCAUAUAGAUUUGAAUGUGGCUAACAUCAUUCAGUGACGUACUGAGCACCUACCAAAUGUAGGGCAUUGCGCUGUACUCUGGGACACAAAGGUAACUCAAACUUUUUUUUUUUUGAGGGGAAAGAGAGAAUGUGAAAUUUAAUAUGAAAGUUGAGACUGAUAUGAAAUGAAAGACAUGGUUGCCAUAGGAGAGGCAUAGAUAAAAGUACCAUUGCUUGCCCUUUAGAGAUGAAUGAAAUUUGUUCUUGCUGGGUGAUUAGGAGAGGCUUCAUAGAGGAGGUAGCAUUUGAGUGGACCUUGAAGUUUAUGUGGCUACAAAUUCCUUUUCCUAUAAAAUGCUAUUGUCAGGAAAUACAAAUAGGAAAUAUCUGGAGUUUGAGUCUCAUCCACUAGGUAGCUCUGCAGCAGUGAAGUCUAUAGGAUGACUUUUAAUCUGCAAAAUGGGGAUUGACCUGGAGGAUUGGUAAGGUUUUUUUUUUUUGCAGCUACUGAAACUCUGUGAUACUGCAAAUAAACUAUGGUCUUAGGAGAAUUUCAUGGCACUCUUAUUAUUUAUUCCUUCACAAUGUACAAAAUAAAUUCAUUGCUUUAGUUGAAAAUCAGAAGGCACCUGGGAAUCAAUUUGUCCUUAAAACAAAAUGGCUAUUUAUUAAAUAUGUGCAAUUCUUUGUUUAUUAAUUAUACCUCAAUAAACCUGUUUUAAAAACUAAAAUGGUAACAAUAUUUUUUUCAGAGUGAUAUAGUUUAACAUACUUCAAUGAAUUUUGUUAUAGAAUAGAGAUUAUAGGGAUUAUUGAAGUAGAUGAUAACCCUGGCUGAAGCAUGCAAAUUCCCAAACCAAUUUGCUGUAUUAUAUCAGAAUCAGAGUGGAAUCAUGGUGAUAAAAGGACUGGCUCUUAAUAAAGGCAUAAAAUAUUUUCUCUCUUUCUCUCUUUGCCAAUUUGCUUUUCUUCAGGUAUAUUGAAAAUUGUUCAUAUUAUAUUUAAGUAAACCACAAACAAGUACAUCAAAUUCUUAUAAUUCUAGCUAAAUGUGUUUUUAGCACCUCUGUCCAAAUUAAUAUAAAGAAACCAAUUAUGGAUGUACUUUGCUGAAAUUCAUAAAUAAAACUAACAGUUUGAUGUGAAAAGAGGAAAGAUAAGGCAGUCAAAAAUGUGUGGAUGUGUGGAUGUAUUUACUCUGAGUCAGUAGCUUAAAUGCACUUUCUGAGGAGCUGUUUGUUUCAAGAUAAUGGAUUGAGCAGUUUUUCUUUGAUAGUGAACAACUAGCUCUCAACCCUGCAAGCUAUUUAUUUCUGUAGCUUUUCUUUUUGCACUAACACUACUCUUUAAGACAAUUUUUAUAUUGAACCCCAAAAGGUCAGAAUUAGGAUGUGUCUUUGGUCCAUUGUCAGAUCUGAUCAAAGCAGUUGGAUCUUUGUAGGUCGAUUAUGGAACAGACACACGGGAGGUGCUGGUUAUCACUUUGUUUAGUCUGCAAAAAGUGUAAAUCAGAAAGAGAUAAUUGAGAUAGAAAGUGCCUUUAUUAAGCCCCAAAUAUCUUUUGAAGGGGUUAAAUAGGCACUUCAAAUAUAAUCCACAUUAUUAAUGAAAUUGAAAGGCUCACUAACUAAAAUGAAGAACCAUACCAAUAUUUUAUAAUCUUAAUGUAAUCAAGUGGAAUAAGUAUGUAUGGAACUCCUGUUCUUUAUUUAACCCUGUGCUUAAUAGGUGACUGGGUGAGAUGACAGAGAAUGAACGAGCAUGCAGGGAGGAUGAAUUAAAAAGAAAGAACCUCAGUGUUACCAUUCCUAAUUACAAGGAGAACAAAACAAGCACUAAUACGGGAAUCACUGAGUACCAGCAUGUAUGCUGGGAGCCUAUGGGACGCAUGAGGAUGGGAAAGGGCCUGAAUAGAUCACUAACCUUGUUUUGGACCUUUCCCCAAUCCCCCAUCUUUUUCUUACUAACAAGAGGCAUUUGGCUUUUAAAAGGAAAUAAUCUUUAUUAGUGUUUUAUCCACUGCGUUUCAAUAUGAAAUUUUAAAAUGUUUUAUUUCCCCAACUUGAAAAAUGUGAAUCAGAUAUAGGAUCAUGUCUUCUGCAAACAAAGAUAAUUUGACUUUCUCUCUUUCUAUUUGAAUAGCCUUUAUUUCUUUCUCUUGCCUGAUUGCCUUAGCCAGAACUUCCAAUACUAUGUUAAAUAGGCAUGGUGAGAGAGGGCAGCCUUGACUUGUGCCAGUUGUCAAGGGGAAUGCUUCCAGCUUCUGCCAAUUCGGUAUGAUAUUGGCUGUGGGUUUGUUACAUAUGGCUCUUAUUAUUUUGAGGUGUGUUCCUUCAAUACCUAGUUUAUUGUGAGUUUUUAACAUGCAGGGAUGUUGAAUUUUAUUGAAGGCCUUUUCUGCAUCUAUUGAGAUAAUCAUGUGUUUUUUUUCUUUAGUUGUUUAGUUUAUGUGAUGAAUCACGUUUAUUGAUUUGGUUAUGUUGAAGCAACCUGGCAUCCUGGGGAUGAAGCCAACUUAAUCUCAGACCAAACCUUCUUAAGCAACUUCAGCAAAGUCUCAGAGUACAAAAUCGGUGUGCAAAAAUCACCAACAACAGGCAAGCCGAAAGUCAAAUCAUGAAUGAAUUUCCAUUCACAGUUGCUGCAAAAAACAAACAAACAAAACCUAGGAAUACAGCUAACAAGGGAAGGGAAGGACCUCUUCAAGGAAAACUACAAACCACUGCCCAAAGAAAUCAGAAAGGACACAAACAAAUGGAAAAAUAUUCCAUGCUCAAAGAUAAGAAGAAUCAAUAUUGUGAAAAUGGCCUUACUGUCCCAAAUAAUUUAUAGAUUCAAUGCUAUUACCAUUAAACUACCAUUGACAUUCUUCACAGAAUUAGAAAAAACUAUUUUAAAAUUAAUAUGGAACCAAGAAAGAACCUGAAUAGCCAAGACAAUCCUAAGCAAAAAGAACAAAGCUUGAGGCAUCAUGCUGUCUGACUUCAAACUAUAUUACAAGGCUACAGUAAUCAAAACAGCACGGUACUUGUAUAAGCACAGAUACAUAGACUAAUGGAACAGAAUAGAUAAUCCAGAAAUAAGACCACACACCUGCAACAUCUGACCUUUGACAAACCUGACAAAAACAAGCAAUGGGGAAAAAUUCCCUAUUUAGUAAAUGGUGCUGGAAGAACUGGCUAGCCAUAUGCAAAAUAUUGAAACUGGACCCCUUCUUUACACCUUAUACAAAAAUUAACUCAAGAUGGAUUAAAGACUUAAAUGUAAAACCCAAAACUAUAAAAACCUUAGAAGAAAAUCUAGGUAGUACCACUCAGGACGUAGGCAUGGGUACAGAUUUCAUGAUGAAGAUGCCAAAAGCAAUUGGAACUGAAGCAAAAAUUGACAAAUGGUAUCUAAUUAAACUAAAGAGCUUCUGCACACCAAAAGAAGCUAUCAUCAGAUUGAGCAGACAACCUACAGAAUGAGAGAAAAUUUUUGCAAUUCAUCUGACAAAGGUCUAAUAUCCAGAGUCUACAAGCAACUUAAACCAAUUUACAAGAAAAAACAAACAGCCCCAUCAAAAAGUGGGCAAAGAACAUGAACAAACACUUCUCAAAAGGAGACAUACAUGUGGCCAACAAACAUAUGAAAAAAAUCUCAACAUCACUGAUGAUUAGAGAAAUGCAAACUAAAACCACAAUGAGAUGCCAUCUUGUGCCAGUUAGAAAGGCUAUUAUUAAAAAGUCAAAAAACACAGAUGCUGGUGAGGUCGUGGAGAAAAAGGAACACUUUUACACUGUUGGUAGGAGUGUAAGUUCAACCACUGUGGAAGACAGCAUGGCGAUUCCUCAAAGACCUAGAGGCAGAAAUACCAUUUGACCCAGCAAUCCCAUUACUGGGUAUAUACCAAAGAUGUAUAAAUAAAUCAUUGUUAUAAUGAUACAUGCACACGUAUGUUCGUUGUAGCACUGUUCACAAUAGUGAAGACAUGAAAUCAACCCAAAUGCCCUUCAAUGAUAGAUUGGAUAAAGAAAAUGUGGUACAUACACACCAUGGAAUACUGUGCAGUCGUAAAACAGAACGAGGUCGUGUUCUUUGUGGGAACAUGGAUGGAGCUGGAAGCCAUUAUCCUUAACAAACUAACAUAGGAACAGAAAACCAAAUACUGCAUGUUCUUACUUAUAAGUGGGAACUGAAUGAUGAGAACACAUUUACACAUGAAGAAGAACAACACAUACUGGGGCUUGUUGGGGGCGAGUUGUGGGGGAAGAGCAUCAGGAAGGAUAGCUAAUGGAUGCUGGGCUUAAUACCUAGGUGAUGGGAUGAUCUGCGCAGCAAACCACCAUGGCACACGUUUACCUGUGUAACAAACCUACACAUCCUGAACAUGUAACCCUAAACUUAAAAGAUAAAAAAAGAAAAAUAUGAGUCAUUUUUGCCAUUCCUCCCUUCUUAUACAGCUAAAUGGCUUCCCAUCACCCUUAAAAUGAACUUCAAACUUCUCACUUUGGCCUUGGGCUCUUCAUGAUCUGGGCCCUGCUGCUCUCCAACUCCAUCACCUUAACAUUCUCCAUCUCAUUCACUGAACUAUAGUGACACUGACCUUUUUCCUGUAACUUGAACACAGUGCACAUAGGCCCAUUUUAGAGGCUUUGUGCUUGGUGGUCCCUUUACUUGGUAUCCCUUUCUCUCGAAUUUCCACAAGGCUCACUCCUUCACUUCAUUUAUGUCUUUGCAUAAAUAUCACCUCAUUGAAGACUUCUCUCAUUCCUUACUAAAAUAACCUCCCUUCUCCCUGCAUAUUUUAUAGCCCUGACGUAAUAUGUUUGGCUGUUAUCUAUUUGUCACCAAAAUGUAAGAUCCAACAGGGCAGGGCUUUAUAUACUUUACCACAGUAUCUUCAGCACCUAGAACAUAAUGGGUGCUCAAUAAUAUUUGUUGAAUAUGUUAAUGAAUGAACCAGGAUUUUCUCCCUUGUGGCCUUUUUGAGAGGCAGAACUGCAUGCAAAUUAAGGAAAAAAGUAGGAGGUUUGAAAUCAAAUGGACCUCUUAUUUCCAGCCAUGUCACUUUUUAGCAAUGUGCCUGUAAGGAAGUUAUUUAUGAACUCUGAGCCUUGGGACCUUUAUAUCUAAAAUAUUGCUAAAUAAUUCCUGUUUUUCAAGGACUGUGUAAAAAGUAAGAGAUUAUGUAUGCCAUCACAGAAAACAGACUAUGUUCCUAUUUGCAUAUGCUUUAUUUAGUAGAGUCAGAGAAUGGCUGCCUUUUGAGUGAGGAGCCUAACCAUUCUGCACAGGUGUAUCUGUUACUUGCUAAGUGUUAGAGAAAGUCAAAGUAACUGUGAUCUCCAAGGAGUGUACUCUUAGAUAUCAAAAAUUCAUAAGAACAUUUCCACUUAUCGAGGCCAGAUGUCAUGAUUUUGACACUUGAGCAGAGGUGGACUGCCUGAAUUGUAGCUGACACCAUUGCAAUAGAAUCCAAAUAUUCACCUAUAUACUCACACCACCAUACUCUGUCUUAUCUAUAUGUCAAUAGACUCCAAAGUCUCCAAAGCAGCUCUAAUAAUCUUCAUUGUAAAACUCCUAAUGAUGUCAAGAGAGAGAAGGUGCUGAAGAAAUGAUAACCAUAAUAAUAUAUUUUUGUGUGUGAUGGAGAACUAAAGUAAUGAAGUUAAGCUUCUUCUUGUUUUCCUAUGGCCCACAAUUCUGCUUUAGUCACUAACCAAGCAACUUCCAGUUUAUCAGACCUUGUUUUGCAACACAUUAAUAAAGCCAGUGGCAAUUCUGUAAUUUACCAAUAUGACAAGCAUUUUUCAGGCUGCUUAAAUUUCUAAGUCCCUAAAGUAAGGCAAUUUAUUAGUAUUGGUGUUAUCAUCACUGAUCUAGUAGUAUCUUCUGAGAAACUCAUUCCUCUGACUUUUUCUAAGAUUAUUGUUGCCUUUUAUGGUUUUCAUGUCCAUAUGCAAUGGUUUUCACUAGGAACUUUUCUCAUUCUCUGAUUAUUUUGAUGACCUCUUUUCCAUAUUUUUGUAGGAAACCAUGUUGGUUUUUUUCUAUGUAAUUGUCCCUUUGCUCUUUCUUUACAGUAAUCUUUAGCAUAAUAAGGGCAAUAAUCACCAUCAAUCUAGAAGCUGCAUUUGCCCUUAGAAUUAGCCUUGAUUCAGUUCUACUUGGAAGUAACAUAUUUGAAAAAGUAUUGGUCUUAUUUUUGGCACAUUUAAGUUGUAUAUGCCAUGGUUGAGUGGAAGCCAGAAAAAAGUUUAGAGUCUAAACAAGAUACAAAGAAAACAUCAUUUAAAAAAAGUCUGCUGCAAAAGUGUUCUGCAACUCUGCUGAAUAUGGUUUCCCAUGAGACUCCUUCUCAUACCUGAAGAGCUAUUAUAUUUACAUCCUUCAAAGAUGGUGCCAGUAAAAACUUUGAGUGAUGGGAUAAGUCAAGUCCAGGGCCAUUUCAAAUGCCAAAAAAGGAAAAUGAACUUAGAUUCUCUUUUUCUUGUAUAAAAUAACACCAACAAAACAGCUGAACUACAUGCAGCAUCACAUCAAGUCAGUUUACAAUUUUGCCUUCAGUUGUGCUUGACUAAGGAGGUUGCAUAUUUGCAACAAAAUUUUUUCUCUUCUACUGACCUGAUACAUUUGCUAUCCUUAUCAAUGUCACCAUUAUCACUAAAAAGCCCUUCAGUAUCUGUGUAUACACUGCAUUCAGUAUCUAGUUACACAUUGUUUUUACCAUAGCCUGUAAUAGUCAUAUACAAUUUUAACUGAACAGUGGUGGCCCAGACCAGUCUAUAAAGGAAUAAAAUUCUUGUAUAUGUACACAAACCCUAAUACAUGUAGGACCGAAUAUGGGCUAUCCAGAAAACUUCUUAUAAAUAACGAAGGGAGAGGAACUUGGUUCACUAAAAUCCUAGUUUUUAUAUAAAAGAAAGGUCAUUUUUUUCUGUCAGAUAAUUUUCCGGGCAGUGCAAGAUGAAAGCCUUCCCCAUCUUAGUAGUUAAAAUGGAAAUGGAAUAUAAUGUCUCUGAGUCCCAUUCCUUCUAUACAUAUAUCCAGCAUGUAUAGAUCUCAUUCAGAAUUAGAAUUUAUGAGUUAGAUGAGCUAAUCCUAUGUGGGCAGGAUUUGGGAUAUCACUGUCUUGGUAUUUUGCUUGUCAAGUCCUUUACUGAUGCUAACAGGUCCUUUUAGUCAGGCUGCUGAGAGAUACAUAGCACAUUAUCAUUUUACAUGUAUAAGUUAAUCGAGUAUACCAGAAGUUGUUUUCCUUUUUUCCAAGUCAUCUAUUGUGUGGAUAAUAGAUGAUUUGCUAUAAUUUCUAAGCUUAAUUUUUUCCCAUUAAAAAAAUCUAAGUCUUCUUCCAAAUUAUGUAUGUUUUUAGCAUCAAAAGAUGUUUUGAUGGAAGUGUGGAAGUUAUAUGGCAUGCUUUGAUAGAAUAGAGAUUCAUUAUUUUGUUACAAAUGUUUAUUGAACAACUACAGAAUGAAUGAAGUUCCCAAGAAAAUAUCAUUUGAAGUUCUUUUAUUUGAAAUAUUUAUUUACAUAAACAAAAAUCUGUAGCUCAGAGUCAAUGCAGAGUAAUACUUAUUAAUGAUUGUGAGAUCUUUGAAAAUCCUGGUGUCAUAGCAAAAUUCAAAAGGGGUUUGCUUUGUAUCUUUUUCAGUUAAUAAAGGAGAGAACAUGGAUCAAUAAAA